GACGUAGGAUGCAAGCGUUGUCCGGAAUUAUUGGGCGUAAAGAGUUCGUAGGCGGUUACUUAAGUCUGGUGUUAAAGACGGGAGCUCAACUCCCGCAUGGCAUUGGAAACUGGGUGGCUAGAGUGUGGUAGAGGUCUCGGGAAUUCCAGGUGUAGCGGUGAAAUGCGUAGAUAUCUGGAGGAACACCGGUGGCGAAAGCGGGUCUCUGGGCCGAAACUGACGCUGAGGAGCGAAAGCGUGGGGAGCGAACAGG
RNAcentral lists this ribosomal RNA (253 nucleotides) under uncultured bacterium. RNAcentral describes it as "partial 16S ribosomal RNA". It matches the Rfam family "Bacterial small subunit ribosomal RNA", at positions 524 to 776 of the family's 1533-position model. The record is from RNAcentral.